GGGUGACGAGGUGGUGUCAUGGUUGUCGUCAGCUCGUGUCGUGAGAUGUUGGGUUAAGUCCCGCAACGAGCGCAACCCUCGACCUUAGUUGCCAGCAUUCAGUUGGGCACUCUAAGGUGACUGCCGACUAAAAGUCGGAGGAAGGUGGGGAUGACGUCAAAUCAUCAUGCCCCUUAUGACCUGGGCUACACACGUGCUACAAUGGGCGGUACAAAGGGUCGCGAACCCGCGAGGGGGAGCCAAUCCCAAAAAGCCGCUCUCAGUUCGGAUUGCAGGCUGCAACUCGCCUGCAUGAAGCCGGAAUCGCUAGUAAUCGCGGAUCAGCAUGCCGCGGUGAAUACGUUCCCGGGCCUU
This 354-nucleotide ribosomal RNA is filed under the name uncultured Anoxybacillus sp. Its description in RNAcentral is "bacterial SSU rRNA". It matches the Rfam family "Bacterial small subunit ribosomal RNA", at positions 1028 to 1382 of the family's 1533-position model. Lineage: Bacteria; Bacillati; Bacillota; Bacilli; Caryophanales; Anoxybacillaceae. The record is from RNAcentral.